Molecule: long non-coding RNA, 1106 nt
Filed under: Oryctolagus cuniculus (rabbit)
Lineage: Eukaryota; Metazoa; Chordata; Mammalia; Lagomorpha; Leporidae
Description: lncRNA (ENSOCUG00000029820.1)
Source: RNAcentral
CCGGACGUUUGCGUCCAGUCUGGAUCCUCUCCUCUCUUCAUUAUUGGGGUCGUGAUCGUGCACACAGAAAAAUGCACCGAUUCUGAUCAAAGCUGAGACGAGGACGCAUGACUUCCGUGCCGUGCCCUUUUGUUGGGGGCGGGGUGGGGACUCGAGCUAAUUAAAAAUUGGGUUCAUGGGCGGCAUUCAUUUCCUAGUUCACUGACUUUGAAUUUUUUUUUUUUCUCGAAUACCGUGCUUAAAGUGUUACUGUUACCUGCAAGCCUGUCUACACAGUGCAUGGACACUUCGACCCGCCUUACUACUCGGCCCGAAACCGGAUUUGUCCGCUCGGUGAAUGGAUCUACAGCUAGUAGACAAUGCACGAUCUCGGUAUUUGGUAUUUUGCAUUAUUCCACGGCAGCAAAACAAAAGCAGUCUUCUCAUCGCUGGUCCCAACACAAAAAGCAUUUUAACUAAACUUUUCCCACCCUCCCCCGGCCCUAAAAAAAAAGAAAAGAAAAGAAAAAGAAACUUGGGGGUGUGUGUGCGUGGAUAGUGCACACACUACUCAAGAUAAGUGAUUUCCCAUUGAGUUUGCAGCUCGGCGUUCAAUGCGUAGUAACUUUCCCUACCGAGGUUCACUGCGCAAUUCGGCUUUAAGGCUGGCAGCCGACUGCAGCCUGCAGGCCUUUGCCGCAAACGCGGGGAGCGGCCAGUCCCCAGCUGGGUUCCCUGCAGAGCGCCUCUUCCCCGCCCCCUCCCCGGGCGGCACCCGCGCUCGGCUUCGCGAACGUGAAGUCAGCGCGCCCUCUGCCGGCCGGCGCCUGCCCGGGCGGGGCGGUGGGGGCAGGGCGCCCGGAGCCCGCGCCGGGAGGCCUCCAGCCACCCCCCAUCCCCCCCGUGGGGGUCCUUUCGCGCCCACCCGCGGAGGGCCCGGGCCGGGAGGAGGCCGAGCGAGUGGAGGGAAAGUGCUUUCAGAGGCGUGCACUCCACCGCACGGGAGGCGGAGGAGGCUAAACCCGGCUGUCCUCGCAAGUGAACUUCGUCCUGAGGGGAAGCAGCGCUCUUCAUGGGACACGUGCGAGAGUCCACAGAAAAUCCAUUGCUUAAGAAUGACACAGUAA